This 301-nucleotide ribosomal RNA is filed under the name uncultured bacterium. RNAcentral's name for it is "partial 16S ribosomal RNA". It matches the Rfam family "Bacterial small subunit ribosomal RNA", at positions 509 to 808 of the family's 1533-position model. The record is from RNAcentral.
CAGUGCCGCGGUAAUACAGAGGGUGCGAGCGUUAAUCGGAUUUACUGGGCGUAAAGCGUGCGUAGGCGGCUUUUUAAGUCGGAUGUGAAAUCCCUGAGCUUAACUUAGGAAUUGCAUUCGAUACUGGGAAGCUAGAGUAUGGGAGGGGAUGGUAGAAUUCCAGGUGUAGCGGUGAAAUGCGUAGAGAUCUGGAGGAAUACCGAUGGCGAAGGCAGCCAUCUGGCCUAAUACUGACGCUGAGGUACGAAAGCAUGGGGAGCAAACAGGAUUAGAUACCCGCGUAGUCCCUGUCUCUUAUACA